Molecule: long non-coding RNA, 1548 nt
Filed under: Sus scrofa (pig)
Lineage: Eukaryota; Metazoa; Chordata; Mammalia; Artiodactyla; Suidae
Description: lncRNA (ENSSSCG00035069960.1, ENSSSCG00045033594.1)
Source: RNAcentral
UUUUUUUUUUUUUUUUGGCUUUGUGUCACUUUUGGGCCACAACUUUGGCAUAUGGAGGUUCCCAGGCUAGGGAUCUAAUCAGAGCUACAGCUGCUGGCCACAGCCACAGCCACGCCAGAUCCAAGCCACGUCUUCAACCUACCCACUGAGCAAGGCCAGGGAUCAAACCCAAAACUUCAUAGUUCCCAGUCGGAUUCGUUUCUGCUGCGCCACGACGGGAACUUCUACCACCUGUAUAUUUUCUUCAGUGAAGUCUUUUGCUCAUUUUUAAAGUUGGGUCGAUUUUCUCAUUGUUGACUUUUGAGGGUUCAUUGCAUAGUUUGGGUACAAGUCCUUUGGCAGAUAUGCAAUUUGUGGACAUUUUCUCCCCACCUGUGGCUUGUCUUUUCAUUUUCUUUUUCUCUUUUUUUUUUUUUUUUUUUUUUUUUUUUUUUUGUCUUUUUGCCAUUUGCUGGGCUGCUCCCUCGGCAUAUGGAGGUUCCCAGGCUAGGGGUCCAGUCGGAGCUACAGCUGCUGACCUACACACAGCCACAGCAACACGGGGUCCAAGAUACGUCUUCGACCUACGCCACAGCUCACAACAACGUCGGAUCCUUACCCGCUGAGCGGGGCCAGGAAUCGAGCCUGUGUCCUCAUGGAUACUAGUCAGGUUCAUUAACCUCUGAGCCAUGACAGGAACUCCGAGGCUGGCCACUUUUGAGUGUCCUGGCCCAACUUCAGGACCCUACUGAAGCCUGGAUCAUGGCAACUCCUCUGAAGUCCACCCUGUGAGGUCCUGCCUGAGGGCCCGGCCCACGAUCUUCAGGGGACCUCCCUCUGUUUUGCUUCCAAGCUCAGCGUGGGGGGCGGGGGCGGGGGUGGGGGAGGGAAGUCAGCUCCAGGGUGGGAAGACUGGCUUUCGGGGGACCUCCAGGGAUGGAAGGACUUUGUGUUUAGGGAGAGAAAAGUUUUUGGGGUGGAGUGGGAUGGCAAAGGAGAGAGCCUGGAACAAAAAAGAGUGCUCAGCUUAAUCCCUUCUCCCCACAGUGCAGUGCAGGGGACUGCUGUGCAAGGAGGUGGGGGAGGUGGACAAAAGGUUUAUUUCCAAAUACAGCAGAGCCGUCUUGGCUCUAGAGAUAGAGUCACUUUGCCUCUUUUCUUAGUUCCCAAAAGAAAGAUGAAAACCUCUCCUUUCUCUAGAGUUUUUAAUGCAGCCUGAGCUACAGGAUCUGAAAAAUAGCAAAUGGCUCUUGAGCAAGAAACAAACUUAGAAGUGGGGGUGGGGAUGGGGUGGAUUCAAGUUUUUCCAUUUUUUAGGGCCAUAUCUGCAGCAUAUGGAAGUUCCGAGGCUAGGGGUCGAGUCAGAGCUGUAGCUGCCGGCCUACACCACAGCUCAUGGCAAUGCUAAGCCUUAACCCACUGAGUGAGGCCAGGGAUCGAACCCACAUCCUCAUGGAUACUAGUCAGGUUUGUCCGCUGAGCCACAACAGGAACUCCUAUCUUUCCUUGUGAGCCAAAUUCCUUCUUAAAAUUAAAAAAACUGGAGGUCACGCACUUUGCUGCCAAGCU